Molecule: non-coding RNA, 77 nt
Organism: Danio rerio (zebrafish)
Lineage: Eukaryota; Metazoa; Chordata; Actinopteri; Cypriniformes; Danionidae
Source: Rfam
ACAGGGUGAUGACCUAUGAAUUGACAGCCAGUGUUUGCAGUCCAGCUGCCUGUCAGUUCUGUAGGCCACUGCCCUGU